RNAcentral lists this ribosomal RNA (409 nucleotides) under bacterium. RNAcentral describes it as "partial 16S ribosomal RNA". It matches the Rfam family "Bacterial small subunit ribosomal RNA", at positions 355 to 776 of the family's 1533-position model. The record is from RNAcentral.
UGGGGAAUAUUGCACAAUGGGCGAAAGCCUGAUGCAGCGACGCCGCGUGAGGGAUGACGGCCAUCGGGUUGUAAACCUCUUUCAGUAGGGACGAAGCGCAAGUGACGGUACCUGCAGAAGAAGCACCGGCUAACUACGUGCCAGCAGCCGCUGUACUACGUAGGGUGCGAGCGUUGUCCGGAAUUACUGGGCGUAAAGAACUCGUAGGCGGUUUGUCACGUCGUCUGUGAAAUCCUAAGGCUUAACCCUGGACGUGCAGGCGAUACGGGCUGACUUGAGUACUACAGGCGAGACUGGAAUUUCUGGUGUAGCGGUGGAAUGCACAGAUAUCAGGAAGAACACCGAUGGCGAAGGCAGGUCUCUGGGUAGUAACUGACGCUGAGGAGCGAAAGCAUGGUUAGCGAACAGG